GGUUAAGUUAGAAAGGGCGCACGGUGGAUGCCUUGACACUAGGAGUCGAUGAAGGACGGGACUAACGCCGAUAUGCUUCGGGGAGCUGUAAGUAAGCUUUGAUCCGAAGAUUUCCGAAUGGGGAAACCCACCAUACGUAAUGGUAUGGUAUCCUUAUCUGAAUACAUAGGGUAAGGAAGACAGACCCAGGGAACUGAAACAUCUAAGUACCUGGAGGAAGAGAAAGCAAAUGCGAUUUCCUGAGUAGCGGCGAGCGAAACGGAACAUAGCCCAAACCAAGAGGCUUGCCUCUUGGGGUUGUAGGACAUUCUAUACGGAGUUACAAAGGAACGAGGUAGACGAAGCGACCUGGAAAGGUCCGUCGUAGAGGGUAACAACCCCGUAGUCGAAACUUCGUUCUCUCUUGAAUGUAUCCUGAGUACGGCGGAACACGUGAAAUUCCGUCGGAAUCUGGGAGGACCAUCUCCCAAGGCUAAAUACUCCCUAGUGAUCGAUAGUGAACCAGUACCGUGAGGGAAAGGUGAAAAGCACCCCGGAAGGGGAGUGAAAGAGAUCCUGAAACCGUGUGCCUACAAAUAGUCAGAGCCCGUUAAUGGGUGAUGGCGUGCCUUUUGUAGAAUGAACCGGCGAGUUACGAUCCCGUGCGAGGUUAAGCUGAAGAGGCGGAGCCGCAGCGAAAGCGAGUCUGAAUAGGGCGUUUAGUACGUGGUCGUAGACCCGAAACCAGGUGAUCUACCCAUGUCCAGGGUGAAGUUCAGGUAACACUGAAUGGAGGCCCGAACCCACGCACGUUGAAAAGUGCGGGGAUGAGGUGUGGGUAGCGGAGAAAUUCCAAUCGAACCUGGAGAUAGCUGGUUCUCCCCGAAAUAGCUUUAGGGCUAGCCUUAAGUGUAAGAGUCUUGGAGGUAGAGCACUGAUUGGACUAGGGGUCCUCAUCGGAUUACCGAAUUCAGUCAAACUCCGAAUGCCAAUGACUUAUCCUUAGGAGUCAGACUGCGAGUGAUAAGAUCCGUAGUCAAAAGGGAAACAGCCCAGACCGCCAGCUAAGGUCCCAAAGUGUGUAUUAAGUGGAAAAGGAUGUGGAGUUGCUUAGACAACUAGGAUGUUGGCUUAGAAGCAGCCACCAUUUAAAGAGUGCGUAAUAGCUCACUAGUCGAGUGACUCUGCGCCGAAAAUGUACCGGGGCUAAAUACACCACCGAAGCUGCGGAUUGAUACCGAAUGGUAUCAGUGGUAGGGGAGCGUUCUAAGGACAGUGAAGUCAGACCGUAAGGACUGGUGGAGUGCUUAGAAGUGAGAAUGCCGGUAUGAGUAGCGAAAGACGGGUGAGAAUCCCGUCCACCGAAUGCCUAAGGUUUCCUGAGGAAGGCUCGUCCGCUCAGGGUUAGUCAGGACCUAAGCCGAGGCCGACAGGCGUAGGCGAUGGACAACAGGUUGAUAUUCCUGUACCACCUCUUUAUCGUUUGAGCAAUGGAGGGACGCAGAAGGAUAGAAGAAGCGUGCGAUUGGUUGUGCACGUCCAAGCAGUUAGGCUGAUAAGUAGGCAAAUCCGCUUAUCGUUAAGGCUGAGCUGUGAUGGGGAAGCUCCUUAUGGAGCGAAGUCUUUGAUUCCCCGCUGCCAAGAAAAGCUUCUAGCGAGAUAAAAGGUGCCUGUACCGCAAACCGACACAGGUAGGCGAGGAGAGAAUCCUAAGGUGUGCGAGAGAACUCUGGUUAAGGAACUCGGCAAAAUGACCCCGUAACUUCGGGAGAAGGGGUGCUUUCUUAACGGAAAGCCGCAGUGAAUAGGCCCAAGCGACUGUUUAGCAAAAACACAGCUCUCUGCGAAGCCGUAAGGCGAAGUAUAGGGGGUGACACCUGCCCGGUGCUGGAAGGUUAAGGAGAGGGGUUAGCGUAAGCGAAGCUCUGAACUGAAGCCCCAGUAAACGGCGGCCGUAACUAUAACGGUCCUAAGGUAGCGAAAUUCCUUGUCGGGUAAGUUCCGACCCGCACGAAAGGUGUAACGAUUUGGGCACUGUCUCAACCAGAGACUCGGUGAAAUUAUAGUACCUGUGAAGAUGCAGGUUACCCGCGACAGGACGGAAAGACCCCGUGGAGCUUUACUGUAGCCUGAUAUUGAAUUUUGGUACAUUUUGUACAGGAUAGGCGGGAGCCUUUGAAACCGGAGCGCUAGCUUCGGUGGAGGCGCUGGUGGGAUACCGCCCUGAAUGUAUUGAAAUUCUAACCUACGGGUCUUAUCGACCCGGGAGACAGUGUCAGGUGGGCAGUUUGACUGGGGCGGUCGCCUCCUAAAGUGUAACGGAGGCGCCCAAAGGUUCCCUCAGAAUGGUUGGAAAUCAUUCGUAGAGUGCAAAGGCAUAAGGGAGCUUGACUGCGAGACCUACAAGUCGAGCAGGGACGAAAGUCGGGCUUAGUGAUCCGGUGGUUCCGCAUGGAAGGGCCAUCGCUCAACGGAUAAAAGCUACCCCGGGGAUAACAGGCUUAUCUCCCCCAAGAGUCCACAUCGACGGGGAGGUUUGGCACCUCGAUGUCGGCUCAUCGCAUCCUGGGGCUGUAGUCGGUCCCAAGGGUUGGGCUGUUCGCCCAUUAAAGCGGUACGCGAGCUGGGUUCAGAACGUCGUGAGACAGUUCGGUCCCUAUCCGUCGUGGGCGUAGGAAAUUUGAGAGGAGCUGUCCUUAGUACGAGAGGACCGGGAUGGACGCACCGCUGGUGUACCAGUUGUUCUGCCAAGGGCAUAGCUGGGUAGCUAUGUGCGGAAGGGAUAAGUGCUGAAAGCAUCUAAGCAUGAAGCCCCCCUCAAGAUGAGAUUUCCCAUAGCGUAAGCUAGUAAGAUCCCUGAAAGAUGAUCAGGUUGAUAGGUUCGAGGUGGAAGCAUGGUGACAUGUGGAGCUGACGAAUACUAAUAGAUCGAGGACUUAACCAU
Molecule: ribosomal RNA, 2923 nt
Filed under: Bacillus sp. PGP15
Lineage: Bacteria; Bacillati; Bacillota; Bacilli; Caryophanales; Bacillaceae
Also listed under: 2 other names
Description: 23S ribosomal RNA
Rfam family: Bacterial large subunit ribosomal RNA
Source: RNAcentral